RNAcentral lists this ribosomal RNA (502 nucleotides) under Vermamoeba vermiformis. RNAcentral's name for it is "SSU rRNA". It matches the Rfam family "Eukaryotic small subunit ribosomal RNA", at positions 1215 to 1719 of the family's 1831-position model. The record is from RNAcentral. Lineage: Eukaryota; Tubulinea; Echinamoebida; Vermamoebidae.
UUACGAGGUCAGGACACUGUGAGGAUUGACAGAUUGAAAGCUCUUUCUUGAUUCAGUGGGUGGUGGUGCAUGGCCGUUCUUAGUUGGUGGAGUGAUUUGUCUGGUUAAUUCCGUUAACGAACGAGACCUUAACCUGCUAAAUAGCCACGCGAACCGGUCCGCAAGGGCUCAAAGUUCGCGGCUCGACUUCUUAGAGGGACUAUUCGCACCCGCCAGCGAAUGGAAGUUUGAGGCAAUAACAGGUCUGUGAUGCCCUUAGAUGUUCUCGGCCGCACGCGCGUUACACUGACGGAGUCAACGAGCGUUUUUCCUUGCCCGAUAGGGUUGGGUAACCUCCUGAAACUCCGUCGUGAUGGGGAUAGAUCAUUGCAAUUAUUGAUCUUGAACGAGGAAUUCCUAGUAGGCGCGAGUCAUCAACUCGCGCCGAUUACGUCCCUGCCCUUUGUACACACCGCCCGUCGCUCCUACCGAUUGAACGGUCCGGCGAGAACUCCGGAUGGUC